GACGAACGCUGGCGGCGUGCUUAACACAUGCAAGUCGAACGGUAAGGCCCUUCGGGGUACACGAGUGGCGAACGGGUGAGUAACACGUGGGUGAUCUGCCCUGCACUUCGGGAUAAGCCUGGGAAACUGGGUCUAAUACCGGAUAGGACCCUGGGAUGCAUGUCCUGGGGUGGAAAGCUUUUGCGGUGGGGGAUGGGCCCGCGGCCUAUCAGCUUGUUGGUGGGGUGAUGGCCUACCAAGGCGACGACGGGUAGCCGGCCUGAGGGGGUGACCGGGCACACUGGGAAUGGGAUACGGCGCAGACUCCUACGGGAGGCAGAAGUGGGGAAUAUUGCACAAUGGGCGCAAGCCUGAUGCAGCGACGCCGCGUGAGGGAUGACGGCCUUCGGGUUGUAAACCUCUUUCGGCACCGACGAAGCGCAAGUGACGGUAGGUGCAGAAGAAGGACCGGCCAACUACGUGCCAGCCGCCGCCGUAA
RNAcentral lists this ribosomal RNA (478 nucleotides) under uncultured bacterium. RNAcentral describes it as "partial 16S ribosomal RNA". It matches the Rfam family "Bacterial small subunit ribosomal RNA", at positions 28 to 523 of the family's 1533-position model. The record is from RNAcentral.